AUAAAUCAAAUAAUUAAUAACGUUACAUAAACAAUAAUAUAAUACAAAUUAAAUUAUAAUAAAUCAGAAUAAUAAAAUGCAAACAAUGUAAAAUCCAUGUGGUUGCGAUUUAAUUGAUAUCGUAAUAACAAUAUAUAAAUAUGUAAAGGAUAUAAAUUAAUUUUACGAUAAAUUCUACAAUGAAUCUAUGAGAAAAUAAAAAUGUAAUCUCUUACCUCUCGAAAGAAAGCGUCGGCUCUUUCGUGAUCGGUCAGUUCAAUUUCGUCGAUUGGAAGUUUUUUUAAUUCAUUUCCCUUAGAUCUUAUAGAAAUAUUCAAGCACUUACAAGUGGCGUGCAUCUUAUACAAAUACCUUUCCGUUUAAAACGGUUAACUUUUCCUUUGGGGAAAAAAAAAAAGGAAUUUCCACCGUUUCGAUGUAUCCCCCUCAAGUGCGAUGAUCAGUGCUAACAAAGAAACUUCUUUACCGAAUAAAAUAUAUACUCUUCGUUUAUACCUCCUACCGGUUUUCCUUUAAUUUUUUACGAUUAUUCUCAUACAAUGUCAUUCGACGAACGAUUCCACUGAUUUCUAUCGAUAUUCCGGUAUUUGGUUAUUGAAAAAUUGCCAGUAGUUUACACAGAACAGAGACAGAUAUAUAUAUAUAUCUGUAUAUAUAUAUAUAUAUAUAUAUAUACGUGUUCGAACAGCGAAACAGUAGGUCAACGCACAGUGUGCGAGUUGCCGGAGCAAUGCAAAGCUUUUCACACACGUGUGAGAAUACACGAUUCGUUCUUCCUCUCUACCCCGCUCUUCACUAACUCUUAUACAUGUGUAAACGACUGACUAAAAGAGCAACGAGAAUAGUGUGGGAGAGAAAGGAGAAAGAGAGAAAGAGUGAGAAAACGGAAAAGAGAGAGGGAAGAGUGAGAGAGGUGGGAGCAAGAGAGAGAGAGAGAGAGAGAGAGAGAGAAAAAUUGAGAUAGAAAAUCAAAUGAAGAUAAGCUAAUUCUAUUUCAACAAUAUUUUCAAAUUAAAUACAAUUUUCAUUCUAUUUCGAAAGAAACUUUCGUGUUAUCCAUUUUAUUUACCUAUCAUAUCAGUUUUUAUGAUAGGAUUUAUUUUAAGAGAUAUAGUGGCAAGUAUAUCAUAAGAUUUGAUUUUAUCAAAAGUGUUUAUCUAUCUGUUUUAGGUAAUUCUACUUUGCUUUUAUAUAAAUAUCUAUUAAUUUUUUUCUAUGUUUAUUCAAACAUUAAUAGUUCUACAAAAUGUUUAAAAUAUAAUUAGAUUAAGCGAUGCAAGAAUAAUAGGAAUACAUAUCAUAUGUAUUUACGGAUCUUUGAAAGAAAUACCAAAAGUACUCACUAAAAAUAUACACUGAUUUAUGAAUACGUACGUACAUACAUGCAUACAUAUGUAAAUGCGUACGUGAUCGCACUAGACAAAAACAUACUCGCUAGUCAAUUGAUCGAUUGUAAUACGUGACAGUUUAAAUAUCCAUUAAAAAACAAAAUGAGUUAUUAAAUUUUAUUAUGUAUCUUUAAAUAUAGUAUAUUAAAUAUUGAAACAGUAAGAUAUAUAUAUUUA
Molecule: long non-coding RNA, 1565 nt
Organism: Vespa velutina
Lineage: Eukaryota; Metazoa; Arthropoda; Insecta; Hymenoptera; Vespidae
Exons: 2
Source: RefSeq, a predicted model, not a curated record